This 4689-nucleotide long non-coding RNA is filed under the name Cairina moschata (Muscovy duck). Its description in RNAcentral is "domestica (muscovy Duck (domestic type)) lncRNA (ENSCMMG00000000765.1)". The record is from RNAcentral. Lineage: Eukaryota; Metazoa; Chordata; Aves; Anseriformes; Anatidae.
GCUGCUCUCAAAAGAUUUUAUAAUAUCAGCCUUAAAAAUCGCAUUUCUUUGGCAAAUUUCUCCAGCAUAAAGGCAGCCAUAAACUGGAAGAAAAAAUGCCUUUAGGCUUACGAAUUCUUCCUUCUCUCAAGCAUCAAAAUGCUGUUAUUUUGAGAAGCGUCUGUGUUCAUUGUUUCUCUGAAAUCUGAACUUUUUCCACUUGGAGACAGUUAACUCCCUGAGAAUCUUGCAGGAACGGUAUUAGAUGUUGAUCUCCUUGCAGGAGGACGGGGUGAAGCAGACAGCCAGGCCACAUCGAUCUGGGCUGCAGGAUGUGUUUAGUGAAAAAUCUAUAGGGCUCAGCUUAGGGUGUCAGCUGUCAGUCUGCAGAGCAUCUGUCAGAGGAGUAUUUGCUUCACUGCCGCUGAAUAGCCCUCAGAAAGCUGAACAGAGGCACCCAGAGGACCGUGAAUAUUGGCAGAACUCCUCAAGAUUGAUUUGUGCAGUGUUGGAAGAUGAUAGUAGAUGGGCUUCAGCCUGGAUCUGUCAUCUCACAGUGGUAAAGGAAGGGUAGUAGUCUGUUUCAGGUGAAAAGACAGGAAUGAUUUCUAUGGCUAUCCUUUUGGAGGUAUAGCUUGUGUUCCUCAAACUUGUUGUGGACCAUGGACUGGAAUAUUUCUGUUACCCUACAUUCAGAAGCAGUUUGGAGAGUGAUUCCAAUCCUUCCCUACGUUUCCCUUAAGGCACAUGUAUACAGAAAUACAUGCCAUGCGUAAUACAGUUGCCAGAGGUUGAGCACGUCAAGUUCACUCAGGCCUCAAGAACCCACAGAUGUUUCAAAUCAAAAUGUUACCUUAAUAGGAAUAAUGAGGUGCUUGAGAGAAUAUUUUGGUCUGUACCAUUUGAAUGGGAAAAAUUAUCUUCUCUGUACCCUGGGCAUUCUGUUCAUCUGAGCAUCUUUGGCUCAACCCCCUUCCCAUAAGUUAUCCAGAGAAGAAAGCUGGUGAUUUUUCUCUACUGCAAUUAUGGGUGUAAUUUACUACCUUAAAAACAUCCAGAUACACAGUAAGGUAUUCUGAACCAACACUGAGCGAUCUGUUUCCAGUGCUGGUGGACUGGGGUGUAGCCAUCUUUCAGGGUACAUAUGCAACAGUGCCAGACAGCAGGUGCACAGCUGCCUACGGUGGGAGGAAUUUUGAAGAAAAGUAGUCCCAGGUGUACUUUAUUUCACCUUGGGCACAGCAAAAGCAUGUCUUGCACAAACAGAUGGAUUCCAGUCUGGGUUUGUCAUGUUGAGAAGAUGGUAGCUCCUUUUCAGAGAAAGGAAGGAACUGCACCUGUUGGAGACCUGCUGCCUAAAAGGUCAUGGGAGAAGACAGAAAGCAUUUUUACACAGCAUCUCACUCUUCCUGGGAGAGUCCUUGGAGUCUAGGCUACAACAUUUGCUGGAUGUAAUUCUCUCUCUGUUUAACUGAGAGGAUUUUUCCUCCUCACACUACCAUUCCUUAGAGAGUCUAUCUCAUGCUGAGAGGCUUUGCAUAGUUAAUAAUUAAUUAUAUGUAAUUUCAAAAUAGUGCUUUGAAAUUAUUUCCUUUUGUUUAUUUUAUGAAACAGCAACAAAACAAACACAGCACAUUCCCCCAAAUUACAGUGUUUACUGACAUAUUUUACUUGAGAUUGUUCUUUUAUGGGAAAUUACACAGCUUGUUAGUUUCUGGAAUAAUUGAUAUCCAAUGGUGUAAUCAAAUCACAGGCUAUAAAUAAAAGGAAUUUUAAGGUAUGAAAUCUUCAUUGAGCCUGUCUCCCAAAGCAUCCUCUUUUUUUGGAUGCAUCUUGCUAGCUCAACAAAAUCCAGUUUAUGUGUUUUGCAUAAAAUGUUUACCCUCCAGAAUGACCGUUCCUAUAAGUAACAGAAUAUCAAAUGUUUUAGGCAUAUUGUAUUAAAAUCAUAUGAACACACUGACUGCUUAGAGGUUAUUCUCAAAAGAGACUAAUGAAGACACACUCAGCAAUAACAUUUACAAAUAGAAAGGCUGAGACAGGCCACUGAGCAAGAACACCUUUUUUUUUGAACCUGGAAGUUUUUACAACUAUUUUGGAAGUUACUGUUGUACAUUUUCCUGUCUUCCAAGAGCUUUAAAACAACACUUAACCCAUUCUAUUUCUUCUGCCCAUCUAGAUUUAUACUGCAUUCCUCACUCUGGUAGCUUAGCCUUAUUAUCUCAAGGCGUUAUAUCUAUUCAGAUAUAUCAUCAUUAGGUGAUAGGAGCCCUAUAAAAAUAAAAUUCAGUAAGAUGAAUUGAAUGUGUAGCUACAUACUUAAAGGUCUGAUCUUCAUGAGAUACUGAGAAUUCAUUUCCACUGCUUGUGCUGGUGGUGCAUAUCAACUAAAGAGCUAACAAUAAGUACUUAAGACCAUUUAAAUAUAUGUGGGUGUAUAUAUAUGUAGAAAAAGAAAAAAAAAAUAAUGAGACAUACAUAUUUAGAGACAUAACUAUGUAUAAAUUCAGAUGAUGUCCUUUGAAGAAAAAAUAUUUCAGAGGAAACUCUGGGCUCCUUAGAGGAUGAAGUAGAGUGCCUAGUAAAAGGGGUCAAGCUUAGGCUUGAAAACCAGCAUUUUAUCCAUAAGGAAAACAAUGGGUUAAUUGUAUGUAUGUGUAUGUAUAAAGACAUGUGCGUAUAUUUCUUUGGAUCAAAAUAUAUCUUUAUUUCCUUGCAGUGAAGGUGGAAGACACAGCUUGGCAGCUAACAUUGGCCAGACUUGCAUUAAUGCCCCACGUGUCUGCCAAGUGAAAAUCUGCCGAGUCUCCAAGAGUGUAAACUCUAAUUUCUGCUUCCCUCAGCCUCUUUGCCAGAAAGAAUUCACUGCAUGGAGUCCCUCUUUUGUGGUGUUAGAGCUGAGACCCUCUGAGGGAGUGUCCAUACAUAUAUCAUUUCUAUUCUUCCCACGUGUUUUAAAAUCCACACUCCAAACUGUCAUGCAUUGUCCAUUUCUGUCCAUCACUCAUAUCUGAACAAAACGGAGGGCUAUGAAUAAUGGUAAUGGAAAAAGCAGCAGGCAAAUGUAAUCUACAGAAAUGCUGGGUGGGGAGCAGCAUCUCUGACUGUACUUGACUUGUAUUUAUAUGGGCUGCUAUUAAUAAUAAACAUAGUCUCUACUCCUUUGCCAUAUGAUAAGCAUCAUGUUCAGUAUAGAGUUUCGAGAUUUGGAUCUGUCAUUUAAACUUCUGAAACGAUGCAUACACAACCAGAUCUGAACCAUCUGAACUGUUACAACAGUUCUGUAAAAUCCACAGCAGGGCAAGGUGCUGCUAUCAUGAGAGCUGCAUUUGCUGGCUCUCCAGAGGAAAAGGUCAUGCUGGGCCAGUGUGGUUUUCAGUGCUCAGCUUUCCUUUGGUCAUAUUGUUAGACAUGCAGAAUAUUUAAACAGGUUUAUGGCAACUGGCAAAUCAACUGCUGCGAAAUGAUAUGUAUAACAAGGGACCUAAGGAAAGACUAAAAAUAUAAUCCCUAAUCUAAAGCAUCUGACAUGUUUUCUGGACAGUAGUUUGGUAUUACCCAGAUGUAUGCUCAUAGAGCUGUCUAUGCAAAUCAAAAACAUCCAUCAUACUGAAAGGAGUUUAAUUAUAAAAGUUUUGCUUUUCUAGUGAAACUGGAACUUCAAUUUCAGUUAUUCCUGGUCUCACACCACUUCGUUUCUCCUUCUAAAUUACAUUUUGUUGUAUGUCCAUCAUUCUAAAGCUGUCGGAAUCAUGGUAACACAAAGCUGAUUCCUAAAAAUGGAGAAGGAUGCUAUGUUGCUGAUAGGAAGCAUUCCUUUACCAUUGCAAUAUUUUUAGUUUGUGAAUUUAUGAAAACAGUGGGUAUUCAUGAGGACGGGUAUGAUGAUGUGCAAGUGGUCAGAUCCCGAAGACACUUGAAAGCUGCCACCAUCACAGCCAGCAGCUCAGCUUGAAAGAAGCUUUGGCACCUCUGGUAAUGCCAAAUAACUAACUGACCUUGAGGUGAGCAUUGGGAUUUAGUAACUCAUGUACAAAAACCCCACCAGCUUAGAAGCAGCAAAUUUCAACGUUAUCUUUACACAUGGUAAUUUCUUGCUUUUGCUAGCUUAUUCCCAUGGUCAGGGACCCAGAUGGCCAUGCCUGUGCUAUUAAGAUUUCUGGGGUCAAACUUCUGCCCCUGCCACUGUGACACUGUGUGUUUUGCUCCAAUAAAAGCAGUUUUUAGCACUUCUGCUACACUUAGGGGUAAUUACUUGUGGUACCAGUCUGGUCAGAGAGGUUGGUGCACAAGAUCCUGAUCUGGCUGGCACUGGAGUGGCUCACCCCUGCAAUAGGUGCAAAGAACAGUGCUUUGUCCUGCAAGGGAGGACAACGUGGGCACAGAGGUGACACUGGCCACAGUGCCCCAUAGAAAGAGAAGAGCAAAAUGUCAUUUGCUUGCAUUCCCCUCAAGAAUGGUGUGGGUAUGGGUGUGUGUCUUAAUUGAGAUUUCUAAUCUUUGGCAAAAAAUUCCUUGAAGAAGUAUUUAAUACUACAAAAUAUAUAUUAUUUUAUUAGACUGACUAGAAAAAGCUUGCAGGUUUUCAGAUUUUGUUGAUAGUUUUGUUGUUGUUGACCUUUUUAAAUUUUUUUUGCAAAUGUGACAUAUUUGGAGUGUACCUUUUCUCAGGUGACCCUUAUUAUUAGUCUGCUAGGAGCUUGCUAUUUU